Molecule: small RNA, 91 nt
Filed under: Salvator merianae (Argentine black and white tegu)
Lineage: Eukaryota; Metazoa; Chordata; Lepidosauria; Squamata; Teiidae
Description: 7SK RNA (ENSSMRG00000007814.1)
Rfam family: 7SK RNA
About the family: 7SK was discovered as an abundant small nuclear RNA in the mid-70s but a possible function has only recently been suggested. Two independent studies have found that 7SK RNA binds the CDK9/cyclin T complex (known as elongation factor P-TEFb).
Source: Rfam by way of RNAcentral
GGAAAGGGGGGAGGGGGCCUACCUACCCCACUGAUCACCAGGGUUGACUCGGCUGAUCCGGCUGGCUAGGCGGGUGCCCCCUCCUCGCUCC